RNAcentral lists this transfer RNA (67 nucleotides) under Pedetontus zhejiangensis. RNAcentral describes it as "tRNA-Tyr". It matches the Rfam family "tRNA". Rfam says of the family: Transfer RNA (tRNA) molecules are approximately 80 nucleotides in length. Their secondary structure includes four short double-helical elements and three loops (D, anti-codon, and T loops). Lineage: Eukaryota; Metazoa; Arthropoda; Insecta; Archaeognatha; Machilidae. The record is from RNAcentral.
AAUAAAAUGGCCGAAGAUUAAGGUAUAAGAUUGUAAAUCUUAUAAUGAGUUAAUAACUCUUUUAUUA